AGACCCGAAACCCGGUGAUCUAGCCAUGGGCAGGUUGAAGGUUGGGUAACACUAACUGGAGGACCGAACCGACUAAUGUUGAAAAAUUAGCGGAUGACCUGUGGCUGGGGGUGAAAGGCCAAUCAAACCGGGAGAUAGCUGGUUCUCCCCGAAAGCUAUUUAGGUAGCGCCUCGUGAAUUCAUCUCCGGGGGUAGAGCACUGUUUCGGCUAGGGGGCCAUCCCGGCUUACCAACCCGAUGCAAACUGCGAAUACCGGAGAAUGUUAUCACGGGAGACACACGGCGGGUGCUAACGUCCGUCGUGAAGAGGGAAACAACCCAGACCGCCAGCUAAGGUCCCAAAGUCAUGGUUAAGUGGGAAACGAUGUGGGAAGGCCCAGACAGCCAGGAUGUUGGCUUAGAAGCAGCCAUCAUUUAAAGAAAGCGUAAUAGCUCACUGGUCGAGUCGGCCUGCGCGGAAGAUGUAACGGGGCUAAACCAUGCACCGAAGCUGCGGCAGCGACACUGUGUG
This 511-nucleotide ribosomal RNA is filed under the name Salmonella enterica. RNAcentral's name for it is "partial 23S ribosomal RNA". It matches the Rfam family "Bacterial large subunit ribosomal RNA", at positions 711 to 1220 of the family's 2925-position model. The record is from RNAcentral. Lineage: Bacteria; Pseudomonadati; Pseudomonadota; Gammaproteobacteria; Enterobacterales; Enterobacteriaceae. RNAcentral also lists the same sequence under 3 other names.